Long non-coding RNA from Gambusia affinis (western mosquitofish), 1213 nucleotides. RefSeq lists it as uncharacterized. The transcript is spliced from 3 exons. NCBI's taxonomy places the organism in Eukaryota, Metazoa, Chordata, Actinopteri, Cyprinodontiformes, Poeciliidae. The record is from RefSeq and is a predicted model, not a curated record.
UUUAUUUCAUGUUGCUGCAGUCUUCAGCGCCGGUUCAGAAUAAUCCUGGGAGUAACUGGACGUGAUGAAUGUUUCCUACCAGGAGGCUAAACGAGAUUCUUAAACCAUCAGUGACAAUAAUAUCCAGCUGAGGGAAACCGGAUCCAAUCCGUGUGAAGGUUUUCAGAAACAUCGGCGCUGCUAAACGGAUUCUGAGUGAGAAAUGUGAGGAAACCCAAAGCAAGUCGUCUCCACUAGGAAUAAAAACAACAAACCGCUGCAGAAGCUGCAGGUUCAGGAUGUGGUUCAUCUCUGUUAACAGAGAAAAGAUCAAUCUGCUUGAUUAGAGCUUUAUUUCCUCCCCAGUGGCUCCAGCUGAGCAGGAAACAGAAAGAUGUUUCAGUUGUGUGUGGUUUCCAGCUGUGGCUUCUGGCUGCCCUGACGGCCACUGGAGGCCUCUGCAGAGCUGAAGGAUUUACUGCUGAUGAGGAAACUCAGACAUUUCAGGAUGAAGGUGUGUUUGUUUCGCUGUUAUUCGGCGCUGGAGCAGCUGAGCAGGCGAAAAGCAGCUUCAGUUCCUGCAGUCAAAGCGCCACUGAGGGCGUCUGAUCGAGACACUCACCAUUGAUCUGGAUGGAUUUUACUGUCAUGUGGUUUGUGUUAACUCUGCGGUUACAUCCACUGGCUCAGUGGAGAUGCUGCGACCUGAUAGAGCAGCGAUACGAGGCUGAAGAUCUGGAAACACAAAGCUGAUGAUGUGAUGAAGAUUUCUCUCAAAGCAGCUCCUUCUGCAGGUGGAAGCCGUUUUUUGAUUUUCACAAAUGAAUCAAAAGGUUUUUCAAAUCAAAACCAUGUCAGGGAAUCUGUAAUGUCUAAAUGGUAAUUCAGUUCAGAUUUGAUCAUUCUAUAGACUUUAGUUCUAUGGCUUCUCCAAACCCUGAUUCCAUUGUUAAAAAUGAAGAGUUUUAACAGAGAAAAUAAUGGAGAUUCAUUUUUCUAAAUCAUAUUCUCACAAGGUUAUUCAAUCGCUAAUAAAUGCCACCAAUUGCAAAACAAAUAUCUAGGCAGCAAACUAAAUAUUUAAAAUAUUUUAUUUUUUUUUACAGCCUCACUUUCUGUCAGGUAUUACUUUAGCAGUAAACAUCUACAUGUUCCUUGUAUAUUUAAUGCCUCACACAGGAAGCUCAUUUGUAACUCACCACCUCCUGUCUCCAUUUUAAUGUUUAAAUAAUUC